This 843-nucleotide long non-coding RNA is filed under the name Gossypium barbadense (sea-island cotton). RNAcentral describes it as "long non-coding RNA (GBAR_LNC015772)". The record is from RNAcentral. Lineage: Eukaryota; Viridiplantae; Streptophyta; Magnoliopsida; Malvales; Malvaceae.
CCAUAAAAAAAAGCAGAGAGUUUUCAAAAAAUCUCUCUUUCACAGCCCUCACGUCCGGCCGAUAGGGCCGUCGCAUGCGCCGCCGAAACCCCGCCUUCGUUGUGGUCGGAGCCGAAAAAUGGGUUUUUAACCCCGUUUUGAGUGUCCUCGAGAGCCAAGCCCUCUCAAACCCAAAAGGCCGAAAGAAAAGGACCCUUGACCCCCCUUUCGAUCCGGUCCCGAUGACGGAGAACCGCCCUCCGAUGGCGUGGUCACGGGGCGCCUCAGGUAAAUCCCUCCUUUCUCUUUUUUAUUCUUGUUAUUUAUUAAAAAUAUUUGUAAAGAAAUAAAUAAAUAAAUAAUAGUCGAAUAACAAAAAAAAACAAAAAAAACGAUAGAAUCUUAGUUAACAUUUUUAAACUUCUUAUUCUGUUUUUUUAUUCUUUAAUGCGCGUAAAAAAAUACAAAGAUGAGAUUUCGGCCUUUAUAGCCGGAUACAAACUUUAAAUUUUUCCUUUAUCUGCCUGUCAUUAGCAUGCUUCUGUUGUUGCAUUCAAUUUGCAGGGGUUUCGAGGCCAACGGUGGUGGCAGAGGCAUGCACGAGGAGCGACAGACCUAGGUGCGGCGCACCUAGGGUUUCUCUUGGCUGAAAUUUGUUUAGUUUGGUGGGCUUGUUGGGCUAGGGUUUAAUUGUAUUUGGGCUGGUUUUGAUUUUAGGUUUGAAUGUAAUUGGACUGUUAACAUUUUGGGUUUUAUUUGUUUAUUUUUGGGCUUUUAGCCUGGGCAAAAAUUGGGCUACUACAUCUAAAAUUAUACAAAAUCAAAGUUUAUAUAUAACAUUACACAUUGCACCGAAGUUUAUGU